UUUCAGAGUCCGAGUUGUAAUUUGCAGAGGGCGCUUUGGCUUUGGCAGCGGUCCAAGUUCCUUGGAACAGGACGUCACAGAGGGUGAGAAUCCCGUACGUGGUCGCUAGCUAUUGCCGUGUAAAGCCCCUUCGACGAGUCGAGUUGUUUGGGAAUGCAGCUCUAAAUGGGAGGUAAAUUUCUUCUAAAGCUAAAUAUUGGCCAGAGACCGAUAGCGCACAAGUAGAGUGAUCGAAAGAUGAAAAGCACUUUGGAAAGAGAGUCAAACAGCACGUGAAAUUGUUGAAAGGGAAGCGCUUGCAGCCAGACUUGCUUGCAGUUGCUCAUCCGGGCUUUUGCCCGGUGCACUCUUCUGCAGGCAGGCCAGCAUCAGUUUGGGCGGUGGGAUAAAGGUCUCUGUCACGUACCUCUCUUCGGGGAGGACUUAUAGGGGAGGCGACAUACCACCAGCCUGGACUGAGGUCCGCGCAUCUGCUAGGAUGCUGGCGUAAUGGCUGUAAGCGGCCCGUCUUGAAACACGGACCAAGGAGUCUAACAUCUAUGCGAGUGUUUGGGUGUCAAGCCCGAGCGCGUAAUGAAAGUGAACGGAGGUGGGAACCCGCAAGGGCGCACCAUCGACCGAUCCUGAAGUUUACGGAAGGAUUUGAGUAAGAGCAUGGCUGUUGGGACCCGAAAGAUGGUGAACUAUGCUUGAAUAGGGUGAAGCCAGAGGAAACUCUGGUGGAGGCUCGCAGCGGUUCUGACGUGCAAAUCGAUCGUCAAAUUUGGGCAUAGGGGCGAAAG
RNAcentral lists this ribosomal RNA (782 nucleotides) under Spadicoides xylogena. RNAcentral's name for it is "eukaryotic LSU rRNA". It matches the Rfam family "Eukaryotic large subunit ribosomal RNA", at positions 129 to 929 of the family's 3401-position model. The record is from RNAcentral. Lineage: Eukaryota; Fungi; Ascomycota; Sordariomycetes; Xenospadicoidales; Xenospadicoidaceae.